Molecule: long non-coding RNA, 337 nt
Organism: Gadus morhua (Atlantic cod)
Lineage: Eukaryota; Metazoa; Chordata; Actinopteri; Gadiformes; Gadidae
Exons: 3
Source: RefSeq, a predicted model, not a curated record
GUCAGGGGACACACGGUGGCCAGGUACUGGACCAGCUGCACGUGCUGACCCGGUCGAUACGAGCGACCUUUGCCCUGGCUGUACAGCCAUUCUGCCUUUAAACUGGUAGUGGAAGAAAUACAUUACUGCUACUAGACGCCGUCCAGCACCUUGAGGCUCAGGCACCAGCUCAUGACGUAAGGAGAGAAUCGAUAGACGCGUGGGUAGGUGGGCAGGAAUCGUACGGAGUGUCGUUAGGCUGUUCCCGUGAAGCAAGAGUGUCUGCAAUAAAAAGAACAUGGCAGCAAAUCUAAACAGGUGAGUCGUACAUGAAGAAUGGAUGGCUUGCUACUUCUCA